UGGGGAAUAUUGCACAAUGGGGGGAACCCUGAUGCAGCCAUGCCGCGUGAAUGAAGAAGGCCUUCGGGUUGUAAAGUUCUUUCGGUGACGAGAAAGGUUGAUAGGUUAAUAGCCUAUCAAAUUGACGUUAAUCACAGAAGAAGCACCGGCUAACUCCGUGCCAGCAGCCGCGGUAAUACGGGGGGUGCGAGCGUUAAUCGGAAUAACUGGGCGUAAAGGGCACGCAGGCGGUGACUUAAGUGAGAUGUGAAAGCCCCGAGCUUAACUUGGGAAUUGCAUUUCAUACUGGGUCGCUAGAGUACUUUAGGGAGGGGUAGAAUUCCACGUGUAGCGGUGAAAUGCGUAGAGAUGUGGAGGAAUACCGAAGGCGAAGGCAGCCCCUUGGGAAUGUACUGACGCUCAUGUGCGAAAGCGUGGGGAGCAAACAGGAUUAGAUACCCUGGUAGUCCACGCUGUAAACGAUGUCGAUUUGGGGAUUGGGCUUUGAGCUUGGUGCCCGUAGCUAACGUGAUAAAUCGACCGCCUGGGGAGUACGGCCGCAAGGUUA
This 547-nucleotide ribosomal RNA is filed under the name uncultured bacterium. Its description in RNAcentral is "bacterial SSU rRNA". It matches the Rfam family "Bacterial small subunit ribosomal RNA", at positions 355 to 896 of the family's 1533-position model. The record is from RNAcentral.